Pelobates cultripes (western spadefoot toad) is the source of this 356-nucleotide non-coding RNA. The record is from the annotation of a GenBank genome assembly. Lineage: Eukaryota; Metazoa; Chordata; Amphibia; Anura; Pelobatidae.
GGGAAUUGUUAUAGACAACAAACUAUGCAACAAUGUGCAAUGUCAAUCAGCAGUGGCCAAGGCCAGUAAGGUAUUGUCAUGCAUGAAAAAGGGCAUUCAUUCUCGGGACAAGAAUAUAAUUUUGCCUCUUUAUAAAUCACUGGUAAGACCCCAUAUUGAAUAUGCAAUUUUGGGCACCUGUUCUAAAGAAGGAUAUUAUGGCACUAGAAAAAGUGCAGAGGCGGGCUACAAAAUUAAUAAAAGGAAUGGAACAUAUCGGCUAUGAAGAAAGGUUAACAAAUUUAAACCUAUUUAGUUUAGAAAAACGUCGCCUGAGAGGGGAUAUGAUAACAUUAUACAAAUAUAUUCGGGGCCAA